UCCUGGCAAUUGUUGAAAGCAGUUAAUGCCUCCUGGGCCCUUGCAAGGGUGAAUCACGGCGUUAUGUGUUCCUUCAGGUUUUCUUUAUUAUGUGGGUAGGAUAGAAACAAUUUUCUGGCCAUCCCCAAAUGCAGAUGCAUAGCCCGUACCCACAGGUCCGCUUCCCUUCUGCUCCCCCCGCCCCCCGCCAGCCUCUGAGAAAGAACAUCUCCAGCACUCUCUGAGGCAGAAGGUGUUUCCGUCCCCACAGCAAGACCCGGUAGGGUUUUCUCUGUCCUGAAGGCGGUUGGCCAAGGAAGCUGGGUGUCUGGCUGCAUUCUGCUCUGCUUCCCUGUCUUCCUUAACUCGGCCCUUCCUGUGAUUUUCCCAUUUCCCCCUCCAACUUACUCUCAGAAAAUCCCUGGGGAAUGCAGCUUUUGUUCUAUUGCUUCACAUAAUUCCCAGGGCUGGGAAUGAAAAUUAUUUCCUUUCACAACCCCUGGCCGGGUGCCUUUCACAUCCCGGCUGUGUUAUGGGGUGAUUUAUAAACUGCGGGGUCUGGGGCUCUUUCCUCUGCCUCCUCCCCCGCUUCCCUCCCACCAUCAUUUAAAACAAGACGUUGCACACAACGUGCUCAGAGGUCAGGGUGUCCUCUGAAGUUGGCCACUGGGGCUUUUGCUCAGAGGCGAAGAUUCAGUGGAACCAUAGUGAUGAGAGCAUGAAAGCCAUUCGCCCGUGUUAGGAGAAAACAGAAAGAGGCCCCACGGCCGAACUUCUCAUCUGUGGGAACAAACAAGGCUCAGUCUCCGGGGGGAGGGGGGGGUGGCUUUGAACUGUGAAUUGUAAAAGCACAUUUUCCAAACUUGUCAGAAUUGUGUUUCAUUUCUAGACUUUUACUCUCAAAGGGACCAUGAGGAAGAGACGCAGCUUAAGACGUUUUGAGCUGAGAGAUGAAAAGUUACUUUUAUCUCCAUAAAACUGAGAAGGGGACAAAUGAAGCCGGGGGGGUUCGUUUUCCCUGUGUUACAACAGGAGACAGAAAGCAGACGGCAGAGCAUCAUCAGGGAAGUGAGGUGUCCCCGUCCAAUCUGAAGACCGUCGUCUGCCAGCCACCUCCACGGAGUCCUGUCCUGCCACUGAACCCCCUUCAGGUGUCGAUCCCUCAGAAGCUGAAACAAGACAAUGAGUAUGGAAGGGAGCCCAGAGAGAAGGCACUGGAAAAGAACUACCUCUAGGAAUGAGCCACGCAAGGAAGGAGGGAGGGAGCAGGACUCAGAGAAGGAAUGGAAAGAAGGCGGCUGAUGGAAGACCAUCUCCAGCUCAUCCUGCUCUCCCUGUGGUUUCAUUUGGAAAGGUUAGCAUCUAAGAUUUUCAAGUCAUAUGUCAUUCCUGUUUCUUUGCUUUCUUUCUUUCUUUCUUUUUUUUCUUUUUUUUUUUUUUUACACUAAUCAUUGUUCCAGAGACAUUUGAGUUCAGAAUGGGUCACGUAAUAGAUUUGCGGCUCUAGUGCUCUAGAAAUCAGGAAUGCAGGAGGAGCGCCUCACUUCAGCCUUCUGUUCCCAAAUUAAUGAAUGACUUCUUUCACCAGAAGGGACUGUUAGCACUUCAGACGUCUUCCUGAACCUGGAUCAGUGAUUAACCUUGUUUUCAGAUCCUAAAAGCAAUGGGUAGUUCUCAGCACAAAUAAUUUGCUAAGGUACUAGUCAUGAAGGAACAUAGGGGUGAUAUGCAUGUGAAAAAAUUGGGGCUACUGGGCCUGUCCCCAGUCUCUCUCCCCUGUCCCUGGCCCAGGAUGAGGUGAGAAUUUGGGAGAGGAGCCUGGAGCAUACAAGGAGGGAGAUCGUGGGGGCACCUAGAACCAGCUCACUGGGGCAACUCUGGGUGAUGUUUCAUAUGGAAUAUUCAGCUCAUGCCUCAGUUUCUCCAGAUGUAAAAAGAUAACUAUGCAAUACAUCUGCCUCCCACACAACUCAUAGAGAUGUUAUGAGAACCUAUAAGAGAAAAUCUCUACAAGAUAGUAUUGUGAGUGCCAAAAUGUGGUUUGUGUCUUUGGAAUUGUACCAGAAGUGGGGGUCACCCUAACAAAAAUACAAACCGAACCAGAAGGGGUUGGAGUUGCUAAAAUAAGGGAUUCCAGCAAAGGAAAUCUUUUUCUUUAGCUAUCCACAGGCAGGCUCUGUGUCUGAUGUGCUCCUGCUUCCAGAAAGCACCAUAAUUCCUGUGUAGCGAAGACAACUCAUCUAUUUUCUGGCUUUACCUCUCAGAAAAAAUUUUGGAAGUAAACUCAACACUAGGAAAGAAUAUCUCACAGACCCUUUAGCCUCCCUGUUAUUCAACACUUUCUCGUGUUUUCCUUCCUUCUAAUUUCUCUUCUCAAAAAGUUUUCAACAUACUCCCUCCCUCCCUGACCCACUUUGUGUCUCUUUCUCCCAUGGCAUGUUUUUCUCUCUUCUAACUAGGCUGUUUUUUGGGGUUUGUUUUUUGUUUUUUGUUUUUUGUUUUUUCUCGCUUGUGUCUUCACUGUGGUGCUCCUUCUCCUCCAUUUCUGCCUAUGGCUCCCUUGCACUUUUAUUAAACUCAUCUUCCUCUUUUUUUUCUGUCCAUGAGAAAAAACUCCCUGAUGGACAAGGAGAAAAAAAUGGCCAGCUAGCAUUGUGUUGGGAGAAUUGAGACAGAAUUAUUGAAAGCUAACGGGCCAAACACAACCUCGUCAAUUUGAGCCAAUGCUGCCUGACAAUUCCAACGAGACUUGAUCAGUAUGGAAUUGCAAGACUCUCCUGGAAUUUCUACACAUAUAUAUUCAACAUUUUACCCCAGUCCAGUUCCACACUCCAGAUGGUGGAAGAAUUUCCUUGUUUGCUGGAGAUGAAUUCUCACUCAUCAUCUUUUGCUCUUAUAAGACCAUUGCUCACAACCCCCAAGGACUGCCUAUUAGUACCAUCAUCUUGCUACAGUUAAUGCUCAUUGUGCAUAGUUGGAAAAGGUAGUGUCAUGGCUAACUAAGUUUUCUGAUUGAGAAUUCCAAUGUACAUCGUCCAUGGACUACUGAUAUCUAGAUACAUGAAAUCAUCUACACACCAAAACUCAGGUUGAACUCGGUUAGUCUUUCUUGGAAAAUUCACAGGCAACUCUAGGACUCACGGAACAUCAGGGACAUCACAGAUGUAUUACAAAUUUGCAGAAGCACAAAAUAAUUGGAGUUUCCACUCGAUGCGAUGCAAAAUGUGACUUUUGGUAUGCAGCAAACAGCGUAAGUCAUGUGGGAAACAACUAUACCAUGUCGGGCACAUUAUGUCUUCUUAAAAUUUCCCUCUUCUGUUUUGAAAUGUGCUUAAAUGUUCAAAUGAAAGAAAUUCAUGACCUCCCAAGCUACAAAACAGUGUAUGUGUGACAAGCCCAGUUUUGUAAGGAGAAGCAUACAUGUAUACACAUGCACCAUGGGACCCUCACGUACAUAAGUUUGGCAGUUAGGCCCCCAAAAUUCGGUAGUAGUCUCUCCAGGUGAUGGAAUUACGGGUGCUUUUGCUUUCUUCUUCUGAAUUUGUCUGCACUUUCUGGUUUUAAGAUAGUAAUAAUAAUUCAAUAUUUCUUCUAUAUUAUAAAUGAACAAACAAUCUUCAGUUGAGCAAACCAACACAGCCCAGGAAAGAAUUAAAAGCAGCACAGAAACCCACUUCGAUAGCUAUUAAAAAUGAAUUAAGUGGUUGUAGAAGACAUCUUCCCCUGUUUGGAAAACAACCAUUGCUUGUGCAGUGUUGUCAAAUGCCAAAUUGGGGGAUGCCAUAGCGCAGCAGUGAGAACAAAGAGGAGUUUGGGGAAAUGUUGCUGCCUUGGGAAAUAUACGUGUACUUUGUUUGGGUCACUGGCUGGUCAUUACAUACUGGACUCUAUGAGUCAUAAAGGGUAUGACAUGGGGUAAUCAGAAGGAAUUCUUACAUUUGUGAUGGCAAUAAUUCCUUGUCUGCGUUCCUCAUCUGUAUCUAACCUCCUAGAUAGAAUAAGAUGUGGGAAACUGAGUCUUGAUUUCAGUACUGAUUUUCCAUGAUGGGGGUGGGGCUUUUGGCUUGAACCUGAAGUCUGACUCUCUGUUGGGUCUUCUCAGUCGUCCUCAAGACUUCAC
Molecule: long non-coding RNA, 4099 nt
Organism: Zalophus californianus (California sea lion)
Lineage: Eukaryota; Metazoa; Chordata; Mammalia; Carnivora; Otariidae
Source: Ensembl